Molecule: long non-coding RNA, 1979 nt
Organism: Vicia villosa (hairy vetch)
Lineage: Eukaryota; Viridiplantae; Streptophyta; Magnoliopsida; Fabales; Fabaceae
Exons: 3
Source: RefSeq, a predicted model, not a curated record
AUGCAUAUUCUUAUUUAUUUUGAGCUUUUUUUUAAUUACUUAUUUGUUUCGUUUGAUUCGUAAGAUUAGAAACAUAUGGAGUUCUUCGAUGCGUGAGAUUGAGGUGAUUUUGAUAAAAUUUGAUAUUUGUGUUUAAGGUAGUAUCUUAAAAUCUGAUUUGCUCGAUAUAAACUUAGAAUUAUCCACAAAUAUCGAUUGGUUGGUUUGAGCCUAUGAAUCAGAAGUUUUGAUUCCGAGAUCGAUGUAUCCGACUGUUCCUGCCGCUUUCGUUUGUAUGUAAUCUUGAUUAGAAUCCGGACUCAUUAAUGAUAAUCCGAAAUCAGACGCUCUCGCUGUCAAGUUUGUGUCCAUGAGAAUGUUUGAUGACUUUAUGUCUCUGUAGGACAAGGUGUUGCUGAUUGAUUUGGUUGUGUUAUGCAUCCUCCAUUGAACUUAACAAACACCUUAUGUGCGCCGAAGUGAGUGUUUUUGAUAAUUUUCUUUAAUGUUUACUUAUUUUUUAUUAGCAUUAUUUAUGCUCUCACUGUUAUUCUUCAUGUGCUUGUUCAACUAUCCACUCUUAUUCUUAACUUGUAGUUUUGUUGGAGUUUUUGUAAUGUCACAACCUAUAUUGUGUAUGAAAGCCAUGGCAUGAUCAAUUCUGAAACUAUCAAACAUUGCAAAUUUAGCUGUUGAAGAAGAUCUCUUUGCAAAGUUGUCUUUCUUCAUGGUGGCUUAACAGAAGGAAGAUCUAUGCCUUUUGUGUUUAGGAAUACAUUGAUCCUCAUAUAUGUGGAGAUUAUGAGGUUAGUUAAUUUUAUACACGAUUUGUCUUUUUCUUGGGCACAAGAUGCAGCUUCUAUGGUAAGCAAUGAUACAAAAUCUGUGUAGAACCAACUUGCACAGCCAGGGUAAGCAUGUACCCCUGUUGACAUCUACUGGAGCUCUUUCCAGGUCAACUUCUUAAAGAGGACUUCAAAUUAUGUUUACAUAGUUUAAUACAAAUACUCGAAGAAGAGUAGAUGAACUUUUAAUACCCUGAAACUUGCAAUUGUUAUGAACUUAAUACCCUGAAACAUGGGGUUAUUAUUGUGUGAUUCUCUUUAAAGUAUAACUUUGUUAAAUAAGUCUAUUAAGUUUUGGUUAUUGACAACAUAUAUGUUGUCGUAUAAAUUCAUUUCAAAUUGAUUCUUGAUUAUUAUGAUUCCUCUUCAGAAACUCUGAGGAGCAAUGGCAAUCUCUCCACAGUUAAGCAUGUAUGUUUUGAUGUCAAUUAUUGGUUAUAUAAGGCUGCUACUCCUUUGGUUCUACUCCACUGGCUGGUUGAGAUUGCUACUAUCGAAUCGUUGACAAUUACUUCAACUACGCUUUAGGCUCUUUCCCCUGUUCCGAUUUAUUGAAGUCUGAGUGGUCCUUGUGUGACUUGAAGUCACAGAAAGUAAGAAAGAACUCACCCGUUCCCGCUGGAUUAGUGGAGUUUUUGCUUCAAAACCCACCCUCAACAGAGGUUAACAUUGUUGAUUAAUUAAGGUCAGGUGUGCAUUCAACAUUUUAAAGAUAACUUUCUUUAUUUUCUGUUUCCCCUCUAACCUUUGUGUAUAGUUAUUGAUUGUUUGAAAAAAAUCUUGCUGUCAUUAAAGAUAAAAAGUAUUAACUACUGAAUUUGCAAAUUCUAUGAGCAAAGUACUAAUUCAAAUUGGUCAAGGGUUGGUUUGGCGGUAGCUGAGUUAGAGUUGUUGUAAAAUUAGUAAGCACUAAUAAUACUAGUAGCAAAAAUAAGGUAGUCUGCUUUAUCUUCUUUAUUGGUAUUUAAAAUCUCUAGACUAGGUUGUUUUUCUGUUCUUGGAAGACACAAAUAAUAUAUAUGUUAGUUGUUAUUCUAUGAAUUGAAUGAAUAUAAUAUUCUAAUUGAUGGAUGUAAUUUAAGUUUAUGAUACUUUGAUGGAGAACUAUUUUGGUUUGUCGAGACAAUGGAGAAUUUGUUUGCUCUCUCAUUCUUA